Molecule: ribosomal RNA, 93 nt
Filed under: Butyricimonas virosa
Lineage: Bacteria; Pseudomonadati; Bacteroidota; Bacteroidia; Bacteroidales; Odoribacteraceae
Source: RNAcentral
GGUGUCUAUAGCGACGGAGAUCCACCUCUUCCCAUCCCGAACAGAGAAGUUAAGCCCGUCAGCGCCGAUGGUACUGCCUUUAGGUGGGAGAGU